AGCAGCCGCGGUAAUUCCAGCUCCAAUAGCGUAUAUUAAAGUUGUUGCAGUUAAAAAGCUCGUAGUUGAAUUUCGGGAUCAAUACGUCGGUCGUGCUUCGGUACGUACUGGCGUCAUUGGUUUCUCCCUUCUGACGAACCAUGAUGUCAUUAAUUUGGUGUUAUGGGAAAUCAGGACUGUUACUUUGAAAAAAUUAGAGUGUUUAAAGCAGGCUCACGCUUGAAUACAUUAGCAUGGAAUAAUGAAAUAGGACGUUCGAUCCUAUUUUGUUGGUUUCUAGGAUCAACGUAAUGAUUAAUAGGGAUAGUUGGGGGCAUUAGUAUUCAAUUGUCAGAGGUGAAAUUCUUGGAUUUAUUGAAGACUAACUACUGCGAAAGCAUUUGCCAAGGAUGUUUUCAUUAAUCAAGAACGAAAGUUAGGGGAUCGAAGACGAUCAGAUACCGUCGUAGUCUUAACCCAUAAACUAUAGCCGACUAGGGAUCGGAUGAUGUUAAUUAUUUAAUGACUCAUUCGGCGUACC
Molecule: unclassified non-coding RNA, 520 nt
Filed under: uncultured Glomus
Lineage: Eukaryota; Fungi; Glomeromycota; Glomeromycetes; Glomerales; Glomeraceae
Description: SSU rRNA
Rfam family: Eukaryotic small subunit ribosomal RNA
Source: RNAcentral